Molecule: small RNA, 186 nt
Organism: Melissococcus plutonius ATCC 35311
Lineage: Bacteria; Bacillati; Bacillota; Bacilli; Lactobacillales; Enterococcaceae
Rfam family: Listeria sRNA rli28
Source: Rfam
UUUCAUAUAAUAGAAUAGAAGAGUAGAAAAGUUAUGAUGGUGGCUAUCCAAUCGGAAGAGAGGUGAUACGUAUGAACGUACUUCACUUCAAAAAUCUAAAGAAAGGGGAAGCCUCCUGUCUGCAUUUGAAACAAUUCAGACCAUUUUUAGUUUUAGUAUGUUUACCAUUACUUUAAUCGGUUUGAU